CCUACGGGUGGCUGCAGUCGAGAAUCUUCGGCAAUGAGCGCAAGCUUGACCGAGCGAUGCCGCGUGCGGGAUGAAGGCCCUCGGGUUGUAAACCGCUGUCGUAGGGGAAUAACGGUCGGUGGGUUCUCCCAUCGAUUUGAAUGAUCCUAGGAGGAAGGACGGGCUAAGUUCGUGCCAGCAGCCGCGGUAAGACGAACCGUCCAAACGUUAUUCGGAAUCACUGGGCUUACAGAGUUCGUAGGCGGUCUGGAAAGUUGGGUGUGAAAUCCCUCGGC
This 275-nucleotide ribosomal RNA is filed under the name uncultured bacterium. Its description in RNAcentral is "partial 16S ribosomal RNA". It matches the Rfam family "Bacterial small subunit ribosomal RNA", at positions 338 to 608 of the family's 1533-position model. The record is from RNAcentral.